CAGCGCACAUCACCAUAAUAAUAACGCUCAUCCAUUAACGGUGAAAGUGACAUAAUAAUCUAUUUUGUAAAUAGUAAAUAUUGUAAUGAUCUUUGCUGAAGACGACGGUGUUGGCGACAACAACAAUGUGUUAAAUACGUCGUUCCGCCUUCAUCACAUUUUCAUAACGAUGAAAAUAAGUUAUACAAUUUAGGACAAUGAUAGUUCGCGCAAAGGACGAUGCUGCAAGAGGAAAAACAGACGGCGUGAAAUGAAAAAUAAAAAUAAGGAUAAUGGCAAACGCACGCGGAAUAGUAAUAUUGUGUAGAUACUAGGUAUACCGUUUUAAAAUAAUUUAAUCGAAUCUAAGUAAGUUUAUCAUAAAUUAAUUUAAGUUUGAAAUCCUACUAAAUACUUUUCUGUUUAUUCAAUAGUAAUUAUAAACAAACGGGG
Aphis gossypii (cotton aphid) is the source of this 432-nucleotide long non-coding RNA. RefSeq lists it as uncharacterized. The transcript is spliced from 3 exons. The record is from RefSeq and is a predicted model, not a curated record. Lineage: Eukaryota; Metazoa; Arthropoda; Insecta; Hemiptera; Aphididae.